This 465-nucleotide small RNA is filed under the name Pongo abelii (Sumatran orangutan). RNAcentral's name for it is "retained intron". Lineage: Eukaryota; Metazoa; Chordata; Mammalia; Primates; Hominidae. The record is from RNAcentral.
GCAUGCUAUAAUUUUACUAUACUCUCAUCUAAACCUAAAAUCAGUCUUCAAAAUAAAAACAGAUUGUCCUUUGCCAAAAAUUUUUUUAAUUGCACAAUUAAUUGACAUUAACUGCCAAUUCUUUUUGGCUAAUUGACUAAUUUUAACUUCUGUGUUGCUCUUCCAGAGGCAUGGCUAUUGCACCUUGGGAGAAGCCUUUAAUCGGUUAGACUUCUCAAGUGCAAUUCAAGAUAUCCGAAGGUUCAAUUAUGUGGUCAAACUGUUGCAGCUAAUUGCAAAAUCCCAGUUAACUUCAUUGAGUGGUGUGGCACAAAAGAAUUACUUCAACAUUUUGGAUAAAAUCGUUCAAAAGGUUCUUGAUGACCACCACAAUCCUCGCUUAAUCAAAGAUCUUCUGCAAGACCUAAGCUCUACCCUCUGCAUUCUUAUUAGAGGAGUAGGGAAGUCUGUAUUAGUGGGAAACAU